GUAAAAUGGCUGACUAAAGCGAUAAAUUGUAAAUUUAUUUAUGAAUAAUUUCUUUUAUUA
Molecule: transfer RNA, 60 nt
Filed under: Scolytinae sp. 6 ACP-2013
Lineage: Eukaryota; Metazoa; Arthropoda; Insecta; Coleoptera; Curculionidae
Description: tRNA-Tyr
Source: RNAcentral